Molecule: long non-coding RNA, 703 nt
Organism: Hipposideros armiger (great roundleaf bat)
Lineage: Eukaryota; Metazoa; Chordata; Mammalia; Chiroptera; Hipposideridae
Exons: 4
Source: RefSeq, a predicted model, not a curated record
ACUGAGCUUCUCACCACAUUAUAAAUAAUUCCUGGAAAACAGGCAAUGAAUGAAAAGGAACCACGAGGGAGGUGGAGUUUUGUAUCCGAACAUAAUGCAGGGACGAUAGAACUAAAGCUGCUGUGUAAUCACUGGGACCAGGAUCCAGACAAGCAGGAGGAAGUGGAGUCUGCAAUCCCGGUGAGGCAUUGGAGCUGCCCAGCCUCAGGAAGGAGAAUUUAAGCCAGGUUUUUUAAACCUUUAAAGGUUCUGAAGCUAGCACUUCACUUUAUCCCAAAGAGCGUUGCAGAUCGAUGUGUUGUCUCCUGUCUCUGCUUGUUUCCUUCUGGAUCCCCUAGGCACAGACCUGCCUAAUCAAUUGGAGUUCCCAAAGGAGGGUGAACCGGAGAAACAGCAGGUCCUGGAAAGAAAAAUGACCAUCAGGGUGAAACCCUCUUUAAUUUACCUAAAGAAUAUCUGUAUUUGGUUUUUCUUCCAUCAGCACCUUCUAUUGAUGUAUGUCUGCACACUUGUCAUGCAGUGGAAGAGAAGUUACAUGUAUAAUGAUGUUGGUUGUAUCACUAUGUAAAAUAGCAAAAAAUUAGAAACUAUCUUUAUGGUCAUUGUGGAAGAUUGGUUAUAUAAACGAAGACAUAUAUGUUUUGACUAGGUGAUCAUUAAGGAAAAGGUAGAGGGAACAACAACAAAAGGACAAAAAUAUAUG